This is a non-coding RNA of Pelobates cultripes (western spadefoot toad), 77 nucleotides long. NCBI's taxonomy places the organism in Eukaryota, Metazoa, Chordata, Amphibia, Anura, Pelobatidae. The record is from the annotation of a GenBank genome assembly.
AAAAUAAAGAGAACGUUACCUGCGCUCUGGCCUAAAUAAGCUUAGGCCAGAGCGCAGGUAACGUUCUCUUUGUUUUU